RNAcentral lists this long non-coding RNA (406 nucleotides) under Rattus norvegicus (Norway rat). RNAcentral describes it as "long non-coding RNA NONRATT020578". The record is from RNAcentral. Lineage: Eukaryota; Metazoa; Chordata; Mammalia; Rodentia; Muridae.
GUGCUGGUUUACAUUUCCUUGUCACUUUAUAGUUUUGGGGACGGGCUGGUGACGACCGACUUUGCCCAUAGAAAAACAGGGCAAGGAAAGAGGGCAAUGUCCGCUGCAAGAGGUGUCUUGUUCUUCCUCUUUAUAACACAGCAAAUACCCGACAACAGCAGUGUAUAGAACGAAGGUCUGUCCUAGCCCAUGACUUACGGAACAUUCCAUCAUUGCGAAGAAGGCAUGGUGACAGCAGCAGGAAACAUCUACUCCCACUAUUUUCACUGCUGGAAAGCAGAGUGUCCUACUGCCUGGAGGUCACCAUUGGACAGACUUUUGAUGCCUGAGAAGGAUGUGCACUGGCCCGGAGUUGAUUUUGAAGUUGAUGCCACCAGAUGGUGCUUAGAACUGAGGUAAUUAAAAC